AGUGCCGGUGGCGUCCAGGGCGGUGCCGCCCGUUCCGCCUUGGCCGCCGGUGGCGUUGCCGGUGCCGGCGGCGAUCGUCGCGCUGCCGCCGUUGCC
Molecule: transfer RNA, 96 nt
Filed under: Mycobacterium conspicuum
Lineage: Bacteria; Bacillati; Actinomycetota; Actinomycetes; Mycobacteriales; Mycobacteriaceae
Description: tRNA-Arg
Source: RNAcentral